GAGUUUGAUCAUGGCUCAGAUUGAACGCUGGCGGCAGGCCUAACACAUGCAAGUCGAGCGGUAGAGAGAAGCUUGCUUCUCUUGAGAGCGGCGGACGGGUGAGUAAUGCCUAGGAAUCUGCCUGGUAGUGGGGGAUAACGCUCGGAAACGGACGCUAAUACCGCAUACGUCCUACGGGAGAAAGCAGGGGACCUUCGGGCCUUGCGCUAUCAGAUGAGCCUAGGUCGGAUUAGCUAGUUGGUGAGGUAAUGGCUCACCAAGGCGACGAUCCGUAACUGGUCUGAGAGGAUGAUCAGUCACACUGGAACUGAGACACGGUCCAGACUCCUACGGGAGGCAGCAGUGGGGAAUAUUGGACAAGUGGGCGAAAGCCUGAUCCAGCCAUGCCGCGUGUGUGUAAGAAGGUCUUCGGAUUGUAAAGCAC
This 424-nucleotide ribosomal RNA is filed under the name uncultured bacterium. RNAcentral describes it as "bacterial SSU rRNA". It matches the Rfam family "Bacterial small subunit ribosomal RNA", at positions 9 to 433 of the family's 1533-position model. The record is from RNAcentral.